Molecule: ribosomal RNA, 253 nt
Filed under: uncultured bacterium
Lineage: Bacteria
Description: partial 16S ribosomal RNA
Rfam family: Bacterial small subunit ribosomal RNA
Source: RNAcentral
UACGUAGGGUGCAAGCGUUGUCCGGAAUUAUUGGGCGUAAAGAGCUCGUAGGCGGCUUGUCGCGUCGACUGUAAAAUCCCGCGGCUCAACUGCGGGUCUGCAGUCGAUACGGGCAGGCUAGAGUUCGGUAGGGGAGACUGGAAUUCCUGGUGUAGCGGUGAAAUGCGCAGAUAUCAGGAGGAACACCGAUGGCGAAGGCAGGUCUCUGGGCCGAUACUGACGCUGAGGAGCGAAAGCGUGGGGAGCGAACAGG